AUGGCCUCCGACGGACAUGUGGCCUCAUUGUUCCCUAACCACCAAGCCCUCGAGCUGAAAGACGACUGGGUCACCUACAUCACGGACUCCCCGCAGCCUCCACCCGAGAGAAUCACCUUCACCCUCCCUGUAACAAACUCGGCAUCAAACAUAGCGAUCCUAGCGACGGGCGUCGGCAAGGCAAACGCCGUGCAUUUGGCCGUGUCUGACAGCAGCGACGGUCCAGACGCCCCCGUGUCCCUGCGUGCCACGAUGGUCCAGCCAACGCACGGGAAGCCGGUGUGGUUUCUGGACAAGGCAGCAACCUCAUCACUCGAGGCGCUGUCUGACGGUGCUUACGAGCAGCAGCAUCGUGCGUACUAA
RNAcentral lists this ribosomal RNA (363 nucleotides) under Triticum aestivum (bread wheat). RNAcentral's name for it is "partial small subunit ribosomal RNA". The record is from RNAcentral. Lineage: Eukaryota; Viridiplantae; Streptophyta; Magnoliopsida; Poales; Poaceae.